RNAcentral lists this ribosomal RNA (253 nucleotides) under uncultured bacterium. RNAcentral describes it as "partial 16S ribosomal RNA". It matches the Rfam family "Bacterial small subunit ribosomal RNA", at positions 524 to 776 of the family's 1533-position model. The record is from RNAcentral.
UACGUAGGGUGCGAGCGUUGUCCGGAAUUAUUGGGCGUAAAGGGCUCGUAGGCGGUCUGUCGCGUCGGGAGUGAAAACUCAGGGCUUAACCCUGAGCCUGCUUCCGAUACGGGCAGACUAGAGGUAUGCAGGGGAGAACGGAAUUCCUGGUGUAGCGGUGAAAUGCGCAGAUAUCAGGAGGAACGCCGGUGGCGAAGGCGGUUCUCUGGGCAUUACCUGACGCUGAGGAGCGAAAGUGUGGGGAGCGAGCAGG